CUCACAGGAGAGAACCCUGAUACCUGAGGACUGAAAGUGGAGACCACAUAGAGACUGGGAGGGAUGCAGAGGGUCUUCCACUCAGCUACUCUUCCAUCAUCCCAGAAGUUCUGCAGGCUCCUCCAAGAAUCCUGGGUCCCUGAGAAAUACAGUUGGGAAACUGUUACAGAGAAACAAGCAAUGAAAAUCUCCAGAACAUUUGGCAACAGAACAUGCAAGAGCUGAACUAGGCGAUACCCAAUGACAGACUAUAGGGUUUGGUUGAAGGGGUGAGAGUGAGGAGAAAAGCGAUAUAAAGAGAAUCAUAGAAGCUGUGAGAGGAAGGAGAUAGAGAAGGGACCUUGGUAGAGACACAUCCAUUCUGCCUACGUCUAGGUUGGCCACGUGGGAAUGCCCUGAAUAUCCAGAACACGGGAGGAGCCAGGUAGGGGACCAGCUUUCCAGAGAGUUCUCAAUGGUUUUAGCCCCCAGGGAUUCACAUCCUUAUGCAGUGUCCUCCCACAUUGGAAAGGCCUGACCUGUGUACCCAAUAGGAUUCUGUAGAGAUGAUUGUGUCUGGUCAGUCUGGGUCCUAAAAGGUAUGUGGCCUCGUUCUCAUGGAUCACUCGAUCUGGGAGAAGCCAGCUGCCAUGCUGUGAGGACACUAAGCAGCUCUAUGGGGAGGUCCAUAAUCCAGGACCCACAGCCGCCUCCAGUAGCUCGGUGAGGAAGCAGUCUUGGAGGUGGAUCUUCUAGCCCCAAUCAGGCCUUCAGAUGACUCAAGCCUGAGCUGAUAUCUUGACUGCAAUCUCGUGAAACUGAACAAGAACCAGCUGAGCUUCUCCUGAACUCCUGACCCCAAGAAACUGUGAGUCAUAAAGCUGUGCUGUUGUAAGUCGCUGUGGGUUGGGGUAAUUAUUUGUGUGGCCAUAGAUAACUAAAAUACCGAGAGCUGCAUUAAAUGGAGUCUACUCCAAGUCUCCACUGCCUUGUGGAUUCUGAGUUGAACAUGGUGCUUGGCUCGCCCUCCUUGAGGCACACCCACUUCCUUCCCAGUGAAUUUUCUUUCUCUGAAAUUCCAAGGGUCCCCACAAGACUUGCAAUCAG
Long non-coding RNA from Myotis lucifugus (little brown bat), 1086 nucleotides. RefSeq lists it as uncharacterized. Lineage: Eukaryota; Metazoa; Chordata; Mammalia; Chiroptera; Vespertilionidae. The transcript has 3 exons. The record is from RefSeq and is a predicted model, not a curated record.